ACUGACAUGGCUGACUGGCUUGAGUGUGAAUAAUCUUUAAAAGCUGUUCAUGUAGUAAUGAAUUAUUGUCAAAGAGAACACACUUGCUCCAAAUGGCUCUGGUUAAACACACAUCUUCCUCUUGGGUGAGUUUAUGGCCUCAAUCUCUGCUUCCAGGUCUUCAUCCAUACAACAUGAUGUUCGUUUCGUAUAUUUGCUUUAGGGUGGGGCUUACUGGGAUUGACAGGUCACUGUCGCUUAAAUGCGGUGUCUCUACGUGACUCCUCCGCAGUCCGAGUGUGUGUGUGCAGAAAAUCGGCAUCACAAAUUGAGUUGAAACGCCGACAUUCUCCAUCCGGUCCAUCUUCUAACCCCUUAGAGCUUUCAGUCGGUGAAUGCAGUGAAAGGGCGUCGGGACGGCCAGGCUGUGAAUGCUCCGCUCCCCCGCUGUGUUGACGCAUACGUUAACCGCAACGCACAAUAACACAAAAAAUGUGGUUGUCCACUCCCCCGAGUGCGUCUCUUGUGCGUGUCCCCUUCCCGCUCUGCCCGUGAGUGUGUGUGUGUGUGUGUGGGAAUCGGCACAGGACCCUUAGUCACAGGUCAGGGGAUCUAAGGUUACUAAUAGCCCACACCGAUAGACUCGGGAUCCCCAUCUUGCCCUUUAUGGCGCUCUUCCCUGCGGCCGGAGGAGAAUGCCCGCACCCCCCUCCCCCCCUCACCUCCUCUUCCUCCCCCAGGUGGGGAGCGCGGCCAUUGCCAGCCCCGUCCCGAGAGGACGUAACAGGAGGCUUAUCGGAGCGCCGGGCUGUGCUGUAAUACUCCUGUGAAAGGUCUUUCGGGCCACCUCCCAAUAUUGAUUUUUCUGGGCAGGAGGGAAAUGGAGAUGGGCCCCCCUCAGAGGCCCCGUGCUAGGGAGGAGGAGCAGGAGGAGACAGGUAGAGAUAGGAGUUUACGUGUGUGAGACACAGGCGUACUAUUUAGGCCGCUGUCCUCGGUUUUCCCUCCUCGACCUUCGGUGCCUCUUUGUUGCCAAAACCAAACAAGACGGCGGAGUGUUUCUUGACCGCGCGAGUCAACUCGAUUAAUUCGACGUCUGCCGACCCCGAGCGACGGAAAAAAACAACAAACCUUUUCUGCCAAUUGAUGCAAUGAAUGUGGACCUUUCUGAACUAAAAACACGUUUCAUUUUAACCGGGUGUCAAAACAUUGUGAAAUGAUUGUUUCGGACAAACUUUGUGAAAUGAUUGUGUUCAGAAAUCCUCAUGGUUUGUGUUCAAACGGUAACGUAUCAGCUGUAACUUUGUUGCGGGCCUAAUUGAAUAGCAGCCGCCUUCAAUACCUACCUCCUUGUGUUUCACCAUCAUGUGGGUUUCACGCUGAUUGCACCACAUUAUCGGCUCACGUACA
This is a long non-coding RNA of Gasterosteus aculeatus aculeatus (three-spined stickleback), 1389 nucleotides long. The record is from Ensembl. NCBI's taxonomy places the organism in Eukaryota, Metazoa, Chordata, Actinopteri, Perciformes, Gasterosteidae.